AUACGAAGGGAGCUAGCGUUGUUCGGAAUUACUGGGCGUAAAGCGCACGUAGGUGGAUCAAUCAGUUGAGGGUGAAAUCCCAGGGCUCAACCCUGGAACUGCCUUCAAUACUGUUGAUCUUGAGUCCGAGAGAGGUGAGUGGAAUUCCUAGUGUAGAGGUGAAAUGCGUAGAUAUUAGGAAGAACACCAGUGGCGAAGGCGGCUCACUGGCUCGGUACUGACGCUGAGGUGCGAAAGCAUGGGGAGCAAACAGGAUUAGAUACACCAGUAGUCC
This 274-nucleotide ribosomal RNA is filed under the name uncultured bacterium. Its description in RNAcentral is "partial 16S ribosomal RNA". It matches the Rfam family "Bacterial small subunit ribosomal RNA", at positions 523 to 796 of the family's 1533-position model. The record is from RNAcentral.